UACGUAGGGGGCAAGCGUUAUCCGGAUUUACUGGGUGUAAAGGGAGCGUAGGUGGCAAGGCAAGUCAGAUGUGAAAACCCGGGGCCCAACCCCGGGAGUGCAUUUGGAACUGUAUGGCUGGAGUGUCGGAGAGGCAGGCGGAAUUCCUAGUGUAGCGGUGAAAUGCGUAGAUAUUAGGAGGAACACCAGUGGCGAAGGCGGCUCUCUGGUCUGCAACUGACGCUGAGGCUCGAAAGCAUGGGUAGCGAACAGG
RNAcentral lists this ribosomal RNA (253 nucleotides) under uncultured Eubacteriales bacterium. RNAcentral describes it as "uncultured Clostridiales bacterium partial 16S ribosomal RNA". It matches the Rfam family "Bacterial small subunit ribosomal RNA", at positions 524 to 776 of the family's 1533-position model. Lineage: Bacteria; Bacillati; Bacillota; Clostridia; Eubacteriales. The record is from RNAcentral.